Molecule: non-coding RNA, 25 nt
Filed under: Cricetulus griseus (Chinese hamster)
Lineage: Eukaryota; Metazoa; Chordata; Mammalia; Rodentia; Cricetidae
Also listed under: 1 other name
Source: RNAcentral
GGGACUGCGUUCGCGCUCUCCCCUG